This 462-nucleotide ribosomal RNA is filed under the name uncultured bacterium. RNAcentral describes it as "partial 16S ribosomal RNA". It matches the Rfam family "Bacterial small subunit ribosomal RNA", at positions 28 to 507 of the family's 1533-position model. The record is from RNAcentral.
GAUGAACGCUGACAGAAUGCUUAACACAUGCAAGUCAUUGGCGAAGCUGCGCUUGCGCAGUCUAGCCAAGGCGGACGGGUGAGUAACGCGUAAGGAACUUGCCCUGCAGACAGGGAUAACAGACGGAAACGACUGAUAACACCUGGUAUUGUCAGGCUGGCGCAUGCCGGCCUGAUGAAAGGAGACGCUGCAGGAGAGCCUUGCGUCCUAUUAGCUAGUUGGUGGGGUAACGGCCCACCAAGGCGAUGAUAGGUAGCCGGCCUGAGAGGGUGAACGGCCACAAGGGGACUGAGAUACGGCCCUUACUCCUACGGGAGGCAGCAGUGGGGAAUAGUGGAAAAUGGGGGCAACCCUGAUCCAGCAAUUCUGUGUGCACGAAGAAGGUUUUCGGAGUGUAAAGUGCUUUCAGCAGGGAAGAAGAAAGUGACGGUACCUGCAGAAGAAGCGACGGCUAAAUACGUG